RNAcentral lists this ribosomal RNA (252 nucleotides) under uncultured Odoribacter sp. RNAcentral describes it as "partial 16S ribosomal RNA". It matches the Rfam family "Bacterial small subunit ribosomal RNA", at positions 524 to 776 of the family's 1533-position model. The record is from RNAcentral. Lineage: Bacteria; Pseudomonadati; Bacteroidota; Bacteroidia; Bacteroidales; Odoribacteraceae.
UACGGAGGAUGCGAGCGUUAUCCGGAUUUAUUGGGUUUAAAGGGUGCGUAGGCGGUAUUUUAAGUUAGUGGUAAAACGUCGGGGCUUCACCUUGAUUGGCCAUUAAAACUGGAGUACUAGAGUACAGACGAGGUAGGCGGAAUAAGUUAAGUAGCGGUGAAAUGCUUAGAUAUCAGGAGGAACACCGGCGGCGAAGGCGGCUUACUGGACUGUAACUGACGUUGAGGCUCGAAGGCGUGGGGAGCAAACAGG